This is a long non-coding RNA of Hyaena hyaena (striped hyena), 420 nucleotides long. RefSeq lists it as uncharacterized. The record is from RefSeq and is a predicted model, not a curated record. The transcript has 3 exons. NCBI's taxonomy places the organism in Eukaryota, Metazoa, Chordata, Mammalia, Carnivora, Hyaenidae.
UCUGCAGGGCUGCAGCUGUUCUACGUGUGCAGGGACAGGGGAGGAAGGCCACCUCCAGCUCCUGCUUGGCUCCUAGUCUGAGGCAAGUGACGUCCCACCCAGAGGAGCCUGGGCAGCCAGGAAUGCCUGAGGAAUGUCCCGAAGAUCUCACCUAGAGGUGUGGGGGUUGUGAGGUGUUAGUUUGUACUUUGCCCUCAGCUUACCUUAGCUCUCUCAUCGUUUGGGGGAAAAAAAACCUGAAACACCUCCGAAAGGUCAAAUUUAGGCACCCACUAAAUAGUACCACUGCUGCUCAGAGACUCUAGGGGGUUCCCCGAAGCUGCCUCUGGCUCGCCCCGAAGUUCUGCCUCUGUGAUCUGGAAGAGCCGCAGGGAACAUCUGCUCCAUCUGGAGAAGGGGUCUCUUGACGGGAGAGAUACU